CUUCAUGGGUCCAGUUCAGCCAGCUGGACCCGGUCCAUUUACAGCCUUACUUGCAGUAUGUAUUAUUCGAACUUUGAACAUUUUACUCGACUUUUAAAUAAAAUAAAAUCAAGCGUGGACAAUUGGGCAUAGCGCAUAGGAUCAGCAUCUAUAAUACUAUUGGCAUUUGUCGAGUUAGGGUUUUUUAAAUACAGACUAAUUGUCAAUAUUAUUGACAAAAGUCAAAUCAAAAUAAUCUGUUUUUAAAAUUUUAUGUGGAGAAAAUUUUAAAUAACCACAACAUAAAUUUUGUACUAUAUUAAAUAGG
Molecule: long non-coding RNA, 307 nt
Filed under: Zostera marina
Lineage: Eukaryota; Viridiplantae; Streptophyta; Magnoliopsida; Alismatales; Zosteraceae
Description: long non-coding RNA (ZMAR_LNC000470)
Source: RNAcentral